CUGGCGGCAUGCUUAACACAUGCAAGUCGCACGAAGGCUUCGGCCUUAGUGGCGGACGGGUGAGUAACGCGUAGGAAUCUAUCCAUGGGUGGGGGAUAACUCCGGGAAACUGGAGCUAAUACCGCAUGAUACCUGAGGGUCAAAGGCGCAAGUCGCCUGUGGAGGAGCCUGCGUUUGAUUAGCUUGUUGGUGGGGUAAUGGCCUACCAAGGCGAUGAUCAAUAGCUGGUCUGAGAGGAUGAUCAGCCACACUGGGACUGAGACACGGCCCAGACUCCUACGGGAGGCAGCAGUGGGGAAUAUUGGACAAUGGGGGCAACCCUGAUCCAGCAAUGCCGCGUGUGUGAAGAAGGUUUUCGGAUUGUAAAGCACUUUCGGCGGGGACGAUGAUGACGGUACCCGCAGAAGAAGCCCCGGCUAACUUCGUGCCAGCAGCCGCGGUAAUACGAAGGGGGCUAGCGUUGCUCGGAAUGACUGGGCGUAAAGGGCGUGUAGGCGGUUUGUACAGUUAGAUGUGAAAUCCCCGGGCUUAACCUGGGAGCUGCAUUUAAUACGUGCAGACUAGAGUGUGAGAGAGGGUUGUGGAAUUCCCAGUGUA
Molecule: ribosomal RNA, 597 nt
Filed under: Acetobacter sp. AaM68c
Lineage: Bacteria; Pseudomonadati; Pseudomonadota; Alphaproteobacteria; Acetobacterales; Acetobacteraceae
Description: bacterial SSU rRNA
Rfam family: Bacterial small subunit ribosomal RNA
Source: RNAcentral